This 29-nucleotide non-coding RNA is filed under the name Mus musculus (house mouse). Lineage: Eukaryota; Metazoa; Chordata; Mammalia; Rodentia; Muridae. The record is from RNAcentral.
UAAAAAGCUUGAGUAGAAAGUUGGUUUAA